This 494-nucleotide ribosomal RNA is filed under the name uncultured bacterium. RNAcentral's name for it is "bacterial SSU rRNA". It matches the Rfam family "Bacterial small subunit ribosomal RNA", at positions 903 to 1397 of the family's 1533-position model. The record is from RNAcentral.
AAAUGAAUAGACGGGGGCCCGCACAAGCGGAGGAACAUGUGGUUUAAUUCGAUGAUACGCGAGGAACCUUACCCGGGCUCGAACGGCUGGUGAACGACUCAGAGAUGAGGAGGUCCUUCGGGACGCCAGUCGAGGUGCUGCAUGGUUGUCGUCAGCUCGUGCCGUGAGGUGUCGGCUUAAGUGCCAUAACGAGCGCAACCCUUGCUGAUAGUUACCAUCAGGUAAUGCUGGGGACUCUAUCAGGACUGCCGCCGUAAGGUGAGAGGAAGGGGGGGAUGACGUCAAAUCAGCACGGCCCUUACGUCCGGGGCGACACACGUGUUACAAUGGCAGGUACAGAGGGCGGCCAGGCAGCGAUGCCGCGCAAAUCUCGAAAGCCUGUCUCAGUUCGGAUUGGAGUCUGCAACUCGACUCCAUGAAGUUGGAUUCGCUAGUAAUCGCGCAUCAGCCAUGGCGCGGUGAAUACGUUCCCGGGCCUUGUACACACCGCCCGU